AUUGAACGCUGGCGGCAUGCCUAACACAUGCAAGUCAAACGGCAGCGCGGGGGCAACCCUGGCGGCGAGUGGCGGACGGGUGAGGAAUGCAUCGGAAUCUGCCUGGUUGUGGGGGAUAACGUAGGGAAACUUACGCUAAUACCGCAUACGACCUACGGGUGAAAGUGGGGGACCGCAAGGCCUCACGCGAUCAGAGGAGC
RNAcentral lists this ribosomal RNA (200 nucleotides) under uncultured bacterium. RNAcentral's name for it is "partial 16S ribosomal RNA". It matches the Rfam family "Bacterial small subunit ribosomal RNA", at positions 30 to 230 of the family's 1533-position model. The record is from RNAcentral.